ACAAACUUGGUCAUUUAGAGGAAGUAAAAGUCGUAACAAGGUUUCCGUAGGUGAACCUGCGGAAGGAUCAUUACUGAACGGACGCGCCGCGCCCGCCGCCCCUCACGGGACGACGGCCGGCCGUCUUUCCAGAACCCCUGUGAACACGUGAAUGUGCCCGUCACGCGCGGCGGCGGCCCCCCGCGGCCGCCCCCCCCGCACGCGACAACAUUUUCCAAUCACCACGCUUACGAACCCCUCUUGACUGAGACCAAAAACCGCGGAUCGCGUGUGUGCCGCCCCGUGCGUGCGCACGCGCGCCCCGGAAACCAAACCAAACUAUCACAACUUUUAACAACGGAUAUCUUGGCUCGCGCAUCGAUGAAGAACGCAGC
Molecule: unclassified non-coding RNA, 374 nt
Filed under: uncultured fungus
Lineage: Eukaryota; Fungi
Description: partial contains small subunit ribosomal RNA, internal transcribed spacer 1, and 5.8S ribosomal RNA
Rfam family: Eukaryotic small subunit ribosomal RNA (bases 1-73)
Source: RNAcentral